Molecule: ribosomal RNA, 254 nt
Filed under: uncultured Ktedonobacter sp.
Lineage: Bacteria; Bacillati; Chloroflexota; Ktedonobacteria; Ktedonobacterales; Ktedonobacteraceae
Description: partial 16S ribosomal RNA
Rfam family: Bacterial small subunit ribosomal RNA
Source: RNAcentral
UACGUAGGGGGCGAGCGUUGUCCGGAGUUACUGGGCGUAAAGGGCACGCAGGCGGUCGCGCAAGUCAGGGGUUACAGCUCCCGGCUCAACUGGGAGAGCGCCUCUGAGACUGCGGUGACUUGAGAGCCAGAGAGGGACACAGAAUUCCGGGUGGAGUGGUGAAAUGCGUAGAUAUCCGGAGGAAUACCAAAGGCGAAGGCAGUGUCCUGGCUGGUAUCUGACGCUGAGGUGCGAAAGCUAGGGGAGCGAACGGG